ACUCAUAUUUGUAGACCAGGCUGGCUUCAAACUUACAGAGAUCCACCUGCCCCUGUCUGUCCUGGGAUUAAAGAUGUGCACCACCACUACCCAGCGAGAACUCGUUUUAUCUCUGUAACCUGGGCUACUUUAGACCUCUUCUGCCCUGACUCCAUAGCAACCUCCUUUCUCAAUUCUUACACAUGUGUAAGUCUGUGCUUGUGCUGGUGUGCAGCUGCCAUAGGGCAUGGGUCAGCAAGGAAACUACUUCCUUCCGGAUCAUUUAUUUUUUCAACAGAUGGGUGGCUUUUCCCUUUAAGCUCUCAAUCUCUUUACUAUAUACUUUUGCCAUGAGAAUUACUUUUUUCAUUUUCCAUAUUUGUAAAAAAAAAAAAAAAAAAAAAAAGCAAGCUUAUAAUCAAAUCUAGUACAAGCCGACUGGCUUAAUCUGUUGUCUUUUGAGUUCAAAUUGUCAUUAUUAAACAGGACAUUAAUGGCCCCAUUUUGGGGCCUUAAUGUGUGUGUUUCUACAGUGUUGAUGCCUGGCACAGUUGCCUUAAGCAGCACAUCUGGGUUUCGUUCAACUCGGGACGAAGCUUCUCUUCAUUGAAAUCAAGGCUUAAAAGUCAGAGUUUUUCCAUAUUAGCAAUGAGUUAUUGACUCAUGAAUUAGUAAUUAUGCAGCAUUUUCAAUAUGCCAAGCAUUUUAUAUGGAUUAUGUAAAUAAUAGCCCUGUGUAUUCCCAUUGUACAUACAGGAAAAUUGAGGCUUAGGAAGUUUAAAUCUCUUGCUUUGGAUCACACGGUAGAACUAGGCAUUACACCGGACGCAGCUUUAUAGAGCCCCAGGUGGUCGCCCCUGAGUCAGCCCAGUAUCAAAGAAACUCUGCCCUUAAGUCUCCUUACUGUUACAGUCACUGCUGCUCUGUCUUGAUAACUCAGGCUCCCAAGACCCCUCCCUAGACAACAGCGCCAAGACUGAGGUGAAGAGUCUCUGCUUAGGGUGUAAGUAGCCUAGGCCUCCUCACAGGCCUCCUCUAGCUAAAGGGUCAGAGGAGGACAGGACAAUGAUCUUCAUAACUUGAGUUAGAAUUUCUAAGAUGGGUAUUUUUUUUUAAGUUUCAUAGAUAGCAUUAACAAGUCAUCCCUCUCACGGAUGCUGGGUGAAAAUUUAUCACAUUAAUGAUGAGUGUGCUGUCUUCUCUGAAAUUUGUAAAGUUUGGGCGAUAUGUUGGCACAGAAACUAGACCUGCGGAAUAGAAUGCUCUGCCCUCACACUGUUCACUUUUCCGUUGCUCUGUCUCAUUUACCCUGAAAUCUUCAUAGCUCUGUUUGGUCCCACCCACCCCUCAUCCUCCCUAAGCUGACUUGGGUGAGUUAACUUUGUGCUUCAAUAGCAUUUUCCCUGAAGGAAAGUCCUAAUGCUUUCCUAUUUAGCCCAAGGAAGUCAUACUGUUGCACACGAGAUUGGGGUGAUCCAAGUUAGGAAACGACAGCCCUUUUUGACUGCCAACCUUGUUCAUCUGUGUUAGUGCAGUUUGUGAGUACCCUCACCCUAUGACUUAUAAAACGUGAGGUGCUGCUUGCUAGCUUCUAUGGUCAUUAAGGUAUCUUCGUGGAGAUAAAGUAUACUAAAAGGUUUUGUUUUCAGUAAGACUGCUUUUGAAAUCACCAGUCUUUAGGGUAUAUCUUAAUGAACAGCUGGACAGGAAAAAAGAAAAAGCAGGCACUAAGACCUGGGGUGUAUGGCACUCAAAAUUCAAAUUAAGAUCCUUUUCAUCGUAAGCCUGCUCUGAGGUGAAUUCGUAGUGUGUCAAAAGGCCUUUGGUGUUUCAUUUCCCUGCUUUUGCAUUGGGGGAAGUAAUACCUCACUUCUGUGAGGGCAGGGGCCUUCAAACAAUACAGCCUCUCCAAUUCUAAGGAGUCCGAUCCUGUCACCAUCUUACAUCACUGCCUGGGAAUCAGUCCCCGCCUCCCUUCCUCUUGAACUAGCUGCUAACUGCUUUUGGUGGUUUUCCUUGUCCAUGUCUCCUGCUCUCCGGGUGCUCAUUCAACAAGUAUCUGGAACCUGUGAGAACGAAUUCAUACCUUUCUGACCCUGAGCAUAAUCAAACAGGAUGUGACCUAAGUCUGAUCAUGGGGCGGCGGGGCGGUGAUGCUGUGUUGCUUUGUGUGGUCACAGAGGUCCUCACAGAUGUGGAACAAUGGAGCAGAGACAAAGGAAGGUUGUCAGGAAGAUUCUUUCACACAGAGGCUCUAGUAGCUUGGUGCUUUGUCAAGUUGAGAGCCGAAAUGAAGUGAAAUAAAAGAUGGCCAUUCUCUGCUCUCCGGGCUAAUGGCAUUGUGUCUCCUCCAACCCACCUUCGUUUGGCUUGUGAAAAACCCUUUUUGCACCUGCUGGUCAUACUUCUCUCUGGCAUGACUGCCACCUUGUGUCCCUUGUCUUUGCCUAGUAACCUUUGUUGACUUCAUCGUUACCAUGUAUUUGAGCUGGGCCACUCAUCCUGAAUGACCUUCAACUUCAUACCUCUUCGGAGCUUUACAGCACACUCCUAGUCUUGAUAGAAAUGAAAAUAAACUCAUCUUGUUUUCUGACUGA
Molecule: non-coding RNA, 2576 nt
Organism: Peromyscus maniculatus bairdii (prairie deer mouse)
Lineage: Eukaryota; Metazoa; Chordata; Mammalia; Rodentia; Cricetidae
Source: RefSeq, a predicted model, not a curated record